This is a long non-coding RNA of Oncorhynchus kisutch (coho salmon), 865 nucleotides long. RefSeq lists it as uncharacterized. The record is from RefSeq and is a predicted model, not a curated record. The transcript has 3 exons. Lineage: Eukaryota; Metazoa; Chordata; Actinopteri; Salmoniformes; Salmonidae.
UGUAAGGUUGAAAUGGCAAACACAACUACAAGGAUAAUAACAUUUUAGAGUGGAUAGAAGCUAGAUAUUGUGAAUAUUUAUUGUCAUUGACCAAUUCCUUCCUCAAUUGAUAUUUGGAGAAAUUACAGAAAUAAGGAGACUGGCAGUAAAGUGUUUUCUGUAGAAAACAACUGCAUCAACUGGGUUCAAAAUGAAGGCACAGAAAGUGACAGCUACUUUCACCAUGGUGUUCUUAUGUUGGAUUAUCCAUGAAGUUUCUUCCACAACUGCAUCUCCAACAACUGCAGAUCUUAUUACGACAACAACAAUUGCAGCUCCAACGACAAUUGCAGCUCCAACGACAACUGCAGCUCCAAUGACAACUACAACUGCAGUACCUAAUACAACAACCACAACUGCAGUUCCUAAUACAACUGUAGCUCCUAUGACCACUACAACAGGAGAAUAUUCAACAACAACUGUAGCUCCUACAGCAACAGAUAAACCUCCUACUACUACUACUACAACUGCAGACCCUACUACAACUGUAGCUCCUACGGACACUACAAAAGUAACACCUACAAUGACCACUGUAACUCCCACGCUACCUGCAGCUCAUACGACAACUGAAGCUCUGACGACAACACCUGCUGCUCCUACGACAACUACAACUCCAAAACCUACUACGACAGAAGCAACUUCCACGACUGCUACGACUGCAGAACCUACCACUACAAACAGUGCAGCUCAUACUACAACAACUGUUGUUCUUAUGACAACAAUGACUGCAGCUCCUACGACAACCAUAACAACAGCACCUACUACAACUCCUGCAGUUCCUACAACUGUAGCUACCACGACCACUCCACCUGCUGUACUUACUACA